UACGUAGGGACCAAGCGUUGUUCGGAAUUACUGGGCGUAAAGCGCGUGUAGGCGGCUAAGUAAGUCGGGCGUGAAAUCCCACGGUUCAACCGUGGAAGUGCACUCGAAACUGCAUAGCUAGAGUCCUGGAGAGGAAGGUGGAAUGCUUGGUGUAGAGGUGAAAUUCGUAGAUAUCAAGCGGAACACCGGUGGCGAAGGCGGCCUUCUGGACAGUGACUGACGCUGAGACGCGAAAGCGUGGGGAGCAAACAGG
RNAcentral lists this ribosomal RNA (253 nucleotides) under uncultured bacterium. RNAcentral's name for it is "partial 16S ribosomal RNA". It matches the Rfam family "Bacterial small subunit ribosomal RNA", at positions 524 to 776 of the family's 1533-position model. The record is from RNAcentral.